ACCUAAAAGCUAGCUCCUUCAAAUAAAAUAAAACAAAAAUAUUUAUACACUAUUAUGUGCUAGAAUUAUAAAACAAAUCAUUUCUUUACACCUUAGUAUAGGCGAUAGAAAAGGACAUGUUGAAGCUAUAGAGAAAGUACCGCAAGGGAAUGAUGAAAGAGAAAUGAAAUAACCCAGUAAAGUAAAAAAAAGCAAAGAUUAGACCUUGUACCUUUUGCAUCAUGAUUUAGCAAGACCUAAUUAAGCAAAAAGCUUUGUAGUUUAAAACCCCGAAACCAAGUGAGCUACUCCGGGACAGCUUAGAUAAUAGAGCAAACACGUCUCUGUGGCAAAAGAGUGUGAAGAUCCUCGAGUAGAGAUGACAAAUCUACCGAACUUGGUUAUAGCUGGUUGCCUGAAAACUAAAUAAAAGUUUAGCCUUUUCUUUUCUUAAAUUAAUACUAAUCAUAAUUUUUAUUUAACUAAAGAAUUAUUAAAGAGUUAUUCAUAAGAGGUCCAGCCCUUAUGAACAAGGACACAACCUUAUUGAGAAGGAUAAUGAACAUAUCAUUUUAAAGUUAAUAUUUUGGUGGGCCUAAAGGCAGCCAUCCAAGAAAAAAGCGUUAAAGCUCAAAUAUUAUAAAACUUCAAAUUAAGAUUACAUAUAAUCAUAAUCCCCUAAAUAUAUCAGGCUAUUCUAUUCUAAAAUAGAAGAAAUUAUGCUAAAAUGAGUAAUAAGAGGAUUCAAACCUCUCCUUAGCACCCAUGUAAAUCGGAACGGAAAAACCACCGAAAGUUAAUCGGCCCCAAAAAUAGAGAGGAGUAAGUUAAAAAAAGAUAACUAGAAAAGCACUUAUUCUUUACCGUUUAGCCCACACUGGCAUGCAACAUUUUUAAAGGAAAGAUAAAAAGAAAAAGAAGGAACUCGGCAAACAUAAAUACUUAAACUAAGCCUCGCCUGUUUACCAAAAACAUCGCUUCUUGUUAUAAUAAUAUAAGAAGUCCCGCCUGCCCUGUGACUAAAAGUUUAACGGCCGCGGUAUUCUGACCGUGCAAAGGUAGCGCAAUCACUUGUCUUUUAAAUAGAGACCUGUAUGAAUGGCAUAACGAGGGCUUAACUGUCUCCUUUUUCCUAUCAAUGAAAUUGAUUUCCCCGUGCAGAAGCGGGGAUACUAACAUAAGACGAGAAGACCCUAUGGAGCUUAAGCCGCAAGAACAGAACUUUUACUCCUUUACCAAUCUAAAGGUAUGAAAUUCAUUGUUUUAAUCCUGUUCAAGUGUCUUUGGUUGGGGCGACCACGGAGCAUAAAAAACCUCCACGAGGAAUGAAAAUAGUCCUUUUUUAUUUAAGGGUGACAACCCUAAAAACCAGAAUUUCUGACCAUUUGAUCCGGCAAAGCCGAUCAACGAACCGAGUUACCCUAGGGAUAACAGCGCAAUCCUCUUCUAGAGUCCAUAUCGACAAGAGGGUUUACGACCUCGAUGUUGGAUCAGGACAUCCUAAUGGUGCAGCAGCUAUUAAGGGUUCGUUUGUUCAACGAUUAAAGUCCUACGUGAUCUGAGUUCAGACCGGAGUAAUCCAGGUCAGUUUCUAUCUAUGAAAUGUUUUGUUCCAGUACGAAAGGAUCGAAGAAAAAGGGCCAAUAAUUCAAUUAAGCCCUCCCCUAAUCUGAUGAAACCAACUAAAUUAGAUAAAAGGACAUAUUCCCUAUUUAAGGGAAG
RNAcentral lists this ribosomal RNA (1701 nucleotides) under Diapteron cyanostictum (Gabon jewelfish). Its description in RNAcentral is "Aphyosemion cyanostictum (Gabon jewelfish) 16S ribosomal RNA". It matches the Rfam family "Bacterial large subunit ribosomal RNA". The record is from RNAcentral. Lineage: Eukaryota; Metazoa; Chordata; Actinopteri; Cyprinodontiformes; Nothobranchiidae.